This 253-nucleotide ribosomal RNA is filed under the name uncultured bacterium. RNAcentral describes it as "partial 16S ribosomal RNA". It matches the Rfam family "Bacterial small subunit ribosomal RNA", at positions 524 to 776 of the family's 1533-position model. The record is from RNAcentral.
UACAGAGGUGGCAAGCGUUGUUCGGAAUUACUGGGCGUAAAGGGCGCGUAGGCGGCUUGGUCAGUCCCGUGUGAAAUCCCUCGGCUCAACUGAGGAACUGCACGGGAAACUGCCUGGCUUGAGUUCGGGAGAGGUGAGUGGAACUGCGAGUGUAGAGGUGAAAUUCGUAGAUAUUCGCAAGAACACCAGUGGCGAAGGCGGCUCACUGGCCCGAUACUGACGCUGAGGCACGAAAGCGUGGGGAGCAAACAGG